UAGGGAAUCUUCGGCAAUGGACGAAAGUCUGACCGAGCAACGCCGCGUGAGUGAAGAAGGGUUUCGGAUCGUAAAACUCUGUUGUUAGAGAAGAACAAGGACGUUAGUAACUGAACGUCCCCUGACGGUAUCUAACCAGAAAGCCACGGCUAACUACGUGCCAGCAGCCGCGGUAAUACGUAGGUGGCAAGCGUUGUACGGAUUUAUUGGGCGUAAAGCGAGCGCAGGCGGUUUCUUAAGUCUGAUGUGAAAGCCCCCGGCUCAACCGGGGAGGGUCAUUGGAAACUGGGAGACUUGAGUGCAGAAGAGGAGAGUGGAAUUCCAUGUGUAGCGGUGAAAUGCGUAGAUAUAUGGAGGCACACCAGUGGCGAAGGCGGCUCUCUGGUCUGUAACUGACGCUGAGGCUCGAAAGCGUGGGGAGAAAACAGG
RNAcentral lists this ribosomal RNA (429 nucleotides) under Gemmatimonadota bacterium. Its description in RNAcentral is "Gemmatimonadetes bacterium partial 16S ribosomal RNA". It matches the Rfam family "Bacterial small subunit ribosomal RNA", at positions 355 to 776 of the family's 1533-position model. Lineage: Bacteria; Pseudomonadati; Gemmatimonadota. The record is from RNAcentral.